AAGACAACUCUCAACAACGGAUAUCUUGGCUCUCGCAACGAUGAAGAACGCAGCGAAAUGCGAUACGUAGUGUGAAUUGCAGAAUUCCGUGAACCAUCGAAUCUUUGAACGCAUAUUGCGCCCAAGACUUCGGUCAAGGGCAUGUCUGCCUCAGCGUC
RNAcentral lists this ribosomal RNA (158 nucleotides) under Deasonia sp. 14615-7. RNAcentral describes it as "5.8S ribosomal RNA". It matches the Rfam family "5.8S ribosomal RNA". Rfam says of the family: 5.8S ribosomal RNA (5.8S rRNA) is a component of the large subunit of the eukaryotic ribosome. Lineage: Eukaryota; Viridiplantae; Chlorophyta; Chlorophyceae; Chlamydomonadales; Actinochloridaceae. The record is from RNAcentral.